UACGAAGGGGGCUAGCGUUGCUCGGAAUCACUGGGCGUAAAGCGCACGUAGGCGGAUCUUUAAGUCAGGGGUGAAAUCCUGGAGCUCAACUCCAGAACUGCCUUUGAUACUGGGGAUCUCGAGUCCGGGAGAGGUGAGUGGAACUCCGAGUGUAGAGGUGAAAUUCGUAGAUAUUGGGAGGAACACCGGUGGCGAAGGCGGCCAACUGGGCCUUAACUGACGCUGAGGCGCGAAAGCGUGGGUAGCAAACAGG
RNAcentral lists this ribosomal RNA (253 nucleotides) under uncultured bacterium. Its description in RNAcentral is "partial 16S ribosomal RNA". It matches the Rfam family "Bacterial small subunit ribosomal RNA", at positions 524 to 776 of the family's 1533-position model. The record is from RNAcentral.